UCGUCGCGUAAUAGGCGCGUCCCGGCUGGCGCGACGGCGAGGGCGAGUCGAAUCGACUCGUUCGAAUCGUUCGAUCACGCCUUGCCGCCCGUCUGCGCGGCAACCUCCGCGGCGAAGUCCUCGACCCGCUUCUCCAAACCCUCGCCGAGGUUGUACUUCGUAAACCUCCGGAUGGAAAUCUUCUCGCCAAUCUCCGCGGUCGCCUCCUUGAUGAGCUCGUCCACGGUCUUGCUCGUGUCCUUGAUGAACGGCUGCGUCAGCAGCGCCUUCUCGUUCACCAUCUUAUCCAGUCGGCCCUGGACGAUCUUCUCGCGGAUGUUCUCCGGCUUGGACUGCAGGUCCUCCAUCUUCAUCUGCACCUCGCGCUCCUUCUCGAUCAUCGCCUGGUCCGCGUCGGACGGGGAGACGUACUCGAUCUCCGUGCAAGCCGCCACCUGCAUCGCGAUGUCGUUGGCGAGCUCCUUAAACUUGUCGCCGCGCGCGACGAAAUCCGUCUCGCAGUUGACCUCGACGAGGACGCCGAGGCGCGCGCCGGCGUGAAUGUACUGCACGACCGCGCCCUCCGCGGCGAUGCGCGACGCCUUCUUGUCCGCGCCCGCGAUGCCCUUCUUGCGGAGCCACACGAUCGCCUCUUCGACGUCGCCGUCGCACUCCCCGAGCGCCUUCUUGCAGUCCAUCAUGCCCGCGCCGGAUUUGUCGCGGAGCUCCUUGACCUGCUUGGCCGAGAUGUUCGCGGUGGUCUUCGCGGGGGCGGCGGCUUCCUCCUUCUUCGGCUCCUCCUUCUUCGGCUCCUCCUUGGGCUUCUUGUCCGCGAGCGCCUUGGUCUGCGCCUCAACCUCCGCGGCGAAGUCCUCGUUGCGCUUCUCCAUGCCCUCGCCGAGGUUGUACUUCACGAAACGACGGAUGGAAAUCUUCUCGCCAAUCUCCGCCGUCGCUGCCUUGAUGUACUCCUCAACCGUCACGCCGGUGUCCUUGAUGAACGGCUGUUUCAGCAGCGCCUUCUCGUUCACCAUCUUAUCCAGUCGGCCUUGGACGAUCUUCUCGCGGAUGUUCUCCGGCUUGGAGAGCAUAUCCUCCAUCUUCAUCUGCACCUCGCGUUCCUUCUCGAUCGCCGC
This 1115-nucleotide long non-coding RNA is filed under the name Micromonas pusilla. RNAcentral's name for it is "long non-coding RNA (MPUS_LNC000126)". The record is from RNAcentral. Lineage: Eukaryota; Viridiplantae; Chlorophyta; Mamiellophyceae; Mamiellales; Mamiellaceae.